AUUAACCCGAUAGUGAGUGAUUUUAGAACCAACACUCAUUACCUUGGGAAGCAUCCUGAAAUUGGCGUUGUGCAAGCCCACAAUCUAGUGGGAAGCCUGAACCAAUUCAUCCGCUGCCCACUUGAACCUAAGGGUUCAAAAUCGAUAACUGUCGGGUUACUC
RNAcentral lists this non-coding RNA (162 nucleotides) under Legionella waltersii. RNAcentral describes it as "6S / SsrS RNA". It matches the Rfam family "6S / SsrS RNA". Rfam says of the family: E. coli 6S RNA was the first non coding RNA to be sequenced, but its function was unknown until recently. The record is from Rfam by way of RNAcentral. Lineage: Bacteria; Pseudomonadati; Pseudomonadota; Gammaproteobacteria; Legionellales; Legionellaceae.